RNAcentral lists this ribosomal RNA (253 nucleotides) under uncultured bacterium. Its description in RNAcentral is "partial 16S ribosomal RNA". It matches the Rfam family "Bacterial small subunit ribosomal RNA", at positions 524 to 776 of the family's 1533-position model. The record is from RNAcentral.
CACGUAGGGAGCAAGCGUUAUCCGGAGUUACUGGGCGUAAAGGGCGUGUAGGCGGUAUGUUAAGUCUGGCGUGAAAGCUCUCGGCUAAACCGGGAGAGGUCGUUGGAUACUGGCAAACUAGAGGAUGGUAGAGGCGUGUGGAAUUCCGGGUGUAGUGGUGAAAUGCGUAGAGAUCCGGAGGAACACCAGUGGCGAAGGCGACACGCUGGGCCAUACCUGACGCUAAAGCGCGACAGCAUGGGGAGCAAACGGG